This is an RNA transcript of Perca fluviatilis (European perch), 4296 nucleotides long. It is a transcript of the gene named arrestin domain-containing protein 3-like, with no coding region annotated. The record is from RefSeq and is a predicted model, not a curated record. Lineage: Eukaryota; Metazoa; Chordata; Actinopteri; Perciformes; Percidae. The transcript is spliced from 10 exons.
UGACAACAGAUAUAAAAAGUGCGGAGCAGCUGUUCAGGGUUUCCAAGCCUUGACUUUCCUCCUGGUUUUACAGGAGAUUUGGAUUUUUCUCUGAGGAAAAUGACCAUCAAAAACUUUUCAAUUGAAUAUGAUGCCAUCAACGACAAAAACACCUUCUCAAAUGGAGAUAUCAUUAAUGGUAGAAUUAUCGUGGAGGUUUCUAAGGAAACUAAAAUCCAGUCGCUUGUUUUUAUAGCAAAGGGAAAAGCUCGGGUCUGCUGGUCUGAACAUUACGGGCAAGAUCACAAUCAUGUGUACUGGUCUAAUGAGAAAUAUUAUGAUGUCAAACAUCAUAUUUUGAGAGAGGCAAGACAAGAUGGCACUGAAGUCAUUGGUAAAGGAAGACAUGCAUUUCCCUUUUCCUUUAAUAUUCCUGACAGAAAAAUCCCAUCAUCUUUCAAAUCCUCCAUAGGCAACAUUGUUCAUAAAUUGAAGGCAGAGCUUCAUCAAUCAAUGAAGCUGACAAAAAAGGUUAAAACCCACUUCACAUUUGUGUCCAAAGCAGACAUGGAUACUCCUGGACUUAUGGAACCUCAGAAUGGUUGCAAGGAUAAAUCUGUCAGCGUUUUUGGCUCUGGAAACAUAUCCAUGGAUGUUCACACCAAGCAGAUGGGAUACAAACAAGGCGAGGCUCUCGGAGUCACAGUUGAAGUCAGCAACCACUCAAAUCGUUCAGCGAAGCCCAAACUCGAACUGUAUAAGAAGGUGAGUUUCUUUGCCCAGGGUCACAGGAGAGUUCACAAAGAGAAGAUCAUUAAGGAGAUGAGUGAGGCUGUUGUAUCCUCUGGGAAAGAGACUGUGACCAAGGUGAUGUCCAUCCCCACGGAGCUACCUCCCUCCAUCUUGAACUGCUCCAUCAUCAAGCUGGAAUACAGGCUGAGGAUCUAUCUACAGGUCAAAUUUGCUUCAGACCCAGAGAUCAAACUCCCUAUAGUCAUCCUACCUUCCUUUGAGGUUCCUGCUAUGAAACCACCUGCUGCUGCUGGCUUUGGAUUUAAAGCAUUUGGGGACCCGGACCAAGCACCCUGGAGCAUGGCAUCACAAGCACAAGCAGCACCCCAAGAAGUGGAUCCCCCACCUCCGUAUGAAGCAUGUGCAACGUACCCUAGCAAAUAUGCGAGUGCACUUUAAAUACGCCACUGUUUUAGCAUUGCACUUUGCACAGAUUAAUCACAAUGCAACUUGAGUACCAUUAGUCAUUAGUAGCUUCAUUUGAUUUUUGUUUUACAUUAUGAUGCAAUUCUUUCUUGGGCUGACCCCAGGAAGAGUAGUUGCCACCUUGGUAGUGGCUUAUGAGGAUCCAAACAAAUAAAUACAUAAAUAAAAACUUCAGUGCCAAAAGUUAGUUUGGAGAUUGCUAAUAAUAGUAACCAUAUGAUUAUUGGUCAGUUGCUAAUGUUAAUGCCAAAUUGUAUUUUUUUAUUCCACUGAAUUAUAUUGAUGUCCAUAUGUGGUAAUUUUGGUGUUAUGUAAAUACUAGUCUAUAUCCUUCGCGUGCUGCAGGAAUUUCCGCCGGAUGAAUGUAUUUUCUGUUUCCUUCCGCUUUCUUUGUGUUGGAAUUUUAAAUUUGGUUGAUUAAUGAGGACUAUAGUUAAUUGCUCCUCAGAUCUCUGCAUGGUAAAUUGAGACAGCUAGCUAGUCUAUCUGUCCAAUCUGAGUUUUCUCUUGCACGACUAUUUUGCAGCAGCUCGGUGUAGAGUUUAGCAACGCCCAUGACAAUUCUGAUUGGUUUAUAGAAAUGCCAAUAAACCAGAGCACGUUUUCCUCCCAUCCCCGUAAGCUAUGUGAAGUAACCAGACCCUCCUUCAGCACGCUUUGGAGGAGGGUCUGGCAAAGUGAGACUAUGUAAAUACUAACUUUUUAUCAGCCUGCUUAAACCAAUAUCACAAGGGCCAUGUUGAAUAGAACUACUGUUGACUAAACAUAGUUACACUGUAAUUAGUUUUUUAUCAAUAGAUGGAUUCAAAAUGGUAUACAUUAUCUCAGUAUCUUGAAUAGCUAUACUUUAGUUUAUUUAUCAUAUCAAAUAUUACAAAAAUGAAUUGGUUGUAUAUUUGUACCUGUAUGAAUUUGCAUUUGAACAGUAAAUAUGCCUCAACUCAAACUUUUGUUUGAGUUAAACUUUUCGUUUCAACUUAUUGUUUUAUUGAUGUCAGUGUAAAAGUAAAAAUUCAAUAAUCCAACGGGUAAAAUUUGACAUUUUAAUUUUAUUCAGAUGCUUUUGCGUAGGUAGACAGCACUAAGUUAUGGUCCACCGAAAUCUUGAAUGGGUAUUUCCUCUGAAUCUGUUAGCACCAGAAGAAAGAAAGGAAUAUGCUCAAAAUGCUUAAGUGCAUUUCCUUAAUAUGUGCAAAUUUAGCAUGCGUGAUGCCUGCCUAAAUCAUCUAUAUUGUAUUCCUGCCAGGUAAAGGUUAUGUAUUAUUCUUUUAAUUUACAUCAAGCUAUCUGAGUUAGACAUGUUAUUGAUAAAGUAUGUAUUAUGUAGUGCUAUAUUGUGGUUUUUACAUUGGUUUAAAUAGUAUUCACUGAGGAAUAUAAAUGAAUGUUCACACGUAUAGCAUACUGGAAUCUUUUGUCUUAGUACAUCCAUGACGUCAGUCUCAAUUUAUUUGGCCUAAUUUAGCCUGCAAGGCUGCUGGCUAGAGUUACCUGUGGGAAAGGGACACCUGCAGCUCAUGAUCACGUGGUCAUGUGAGACACCACAGAUAGCCUCUGGAGAAGUCCACUGCUAUAGUGUAUAUGCCAGCCUUGCUUGAUCCUUGCUCAUUAGCGAAAGGCCCCACUUCAAUACCACCGUGGAUCUAUUCAAACCGGCUUCCAGUAGAUUUUCAGGAAUUAUUCUACAAAAAAAGAAGCAUCGUCAUCGUGCGUUCACUCCACAACCUUUGGGACGGUUCUUUGAUUCAGUCUUAUCAUGACUGUAAAGCAUAUCUCAGUGGAUUACAACAAGGUGAAUGAACGAGGCACCUUCUCUCCUGGGGACAUCCUGUCUGGCAGGGUGACAGUAGUGACCAGCAAGGAAACCAAAGUGCAGUGUUUUUUGGUCAAAGCCAAAGGAAAAGCUAAGGUGACAUGGCAUCAACAAGAAGGACAAGCCACAGGGAUGCACACUGACAAGAAGAUAUACUUUCAUUUUGAACAUAUUAUUCUUCAGGAUAAGAACAAAGGAGAUGGUUAGUAUUGUCACUCUCGUCUACCAAAAAACAAAGAAAGAGAGCGCUUAAAGCUUUUCAAUUGAUAGAUAUUUUAUAGUCUGUUAACAAACUGAUGAAUGUGUAUUUAACAGCAGUGUUUCUUUUUAUUCUUUUUUAUAAGGUUCAGAAAUCAUCCGCCCUGGGAGAAAUGUGUAUCCAUUCACCUUUGUGAUUCCAAAUACAGAUAUGCCUUCAUCUUACGAGGGGAAAUGGGGGAAAAUUACAUACAGUUUGCGAGCACAGCUGACUCAGUCAAUCUGGCUUGUCCACAAAACCAAGACUGAGUUCCCUUUUCUGACUAAGUUCCCCUUUGCCUCCAAAUCAGAAAUGAUAAUCAUUGGACUUAAGGAGCAACAAUAUGCAACUAGGAUUUCAUUUUAUGGCUCUGCAAAGGUUACGAUCAAUGUUACCUCAGAAAAAAUGGGAGUAAAGCAAGGUGAUGCGAUAGGAGUCUCUGUAGAGGUACUCAACGACUCUGCACGCACAGUAACACCCAAGUUCUACCUGUGUGAAAAGCAGACCUUUGUUGCUCAGUCAAAGAGGAUCGUUCACACAAAUGACACCCUCUUUGGUACAGGAGACUCCAUACCUGCUGAGACCAGUCAGACCAUAACCAAAGUUCUGAGUAUCCCUCCACAGCUCCACACUACCUUCUUCAACUGCUGCAUGAUGAAGCUCGAGUACGGACUCAAGAUCACUCUUGAUGUCCCUCUGGCAAGAGACUCAGAGAUCAAACUUCCUCUGGUCAUUCUGUUGGGGUCGCCAAAACCACAUCAACAAAAACCAAAGAGAUCCAUCUGGUUUAGAAAGCUUCCUGCUUAAAAAAACUAAAAUGCAUUAGAUCCAGAGACAGUGGUGUGCAUGUGCUGUGCUAGGAGCAACAGGACUCAAAAUAACAGUUCAAUAUAGCAACAUUUAAAUAAGUCUAAACUACCUCAAGCGCCUGAGAAUUCACUGUAUGUUCUCUUGUCCACUAGAUGGAGAUGUGUGUCACUAAGUAGCAUUCCAGUAACAGUUGAUAUUUUUGAGUGUACAGUAUGUACUUAAUAAAUUCAACUACUCA